AGGAGAAUUCAUCCUACCUUUCAUGUGUCUAAAAUAAAACCUGUGUUUCAGGCACGCAUUAACCCGCCGGUCCCGGUUCCCCCGCCGCCACGACUUGUUGAUGGGGAGACCACCUUUUCUGUCAAUCGUAUUUUGGACUCUAGAAGGAGGGGACGCGGAUUCCAGUACCUGGUGGACUGGGAGGGUUACGGCCCGGAGGAGAGAAGUUGGGUACCUGCUAGGGACAUUCUGGAUCACUCCCUUAUCGAUGAUUUCAAUCGACAGUGUUUGUGUGGGCGUGGUUUCCCAAUCUCGGCCUGAUUGUCUGCGCCAGCUGGAACCACUUAUCUUCCCUUUAUAUGUUCUGUUACCAGUGUUUCUUGUUGUCAGAUCGUUGUUUCUUCUCUGAGGUUGUGUCGUGUGUCCGUGCUCUUCUCUUGUGUGGAUUAUCUGCUGUGCUCCUUCCUACUCAUCUGGACACACUCCCCUGGUUUUCUCAGCACGUUAUGAUCGGAAGAUGCGCCCGAGUUCCUGGGUCGGAUUCCUUCUGAGUACAGUCUGUCUGUCAUGUUGCUGCUGUGAACUACAUUCAUUAAAACCAUCGUUGCU
Molecule: long non-coding RNA, 588 nt
Organism: Oncorhynchus masou masou (cherry salmon)
Lineage: Eukaryota; Metazoa; Chordata; Actinopteri; Salmoniformes; Salmonidae
Exons: 2
Source: RefSeq, a predicted model, not a curated record